This 410-nucleotide ribosomal RNA is filed under the name Neusticurus bicarinatus. RNAcentral's name for it is "partial 12S small subunit ribosomal RNA". It matches the Rfam family "Bacterial small subunit ribosomal RNA", at positions 775 to 1405 of the family's 1533-position model. The record is from RNAcentral. Lineage: Eukaryota; Metazoa; Chordata; Lepidosauria; Squamata; Gymnophthalmidae.
GGAUUAGAUACCCCACUAUGCUUAGACUUACAAGAUUAAAUUCCGCCAGAAAAUUACGGGCGAAAGCCUAAAACUCAAAAGACUUGACGGUGCCCCACCUGCCUAGAGGAGCCUGUUCCAUAAUCGACAACCCACGAUAGACCAAACCACCCUUCGAUUUUUACUCAGCCUAUAUACCGCCGUCAACAGCCUACCUUUUAAAAGUAUAAAAGCCAGCCAAAAAGUAUAUCGCUAAAAAGUCAGGUCAAGGUGUAGCUUAUAGGGUGGAGCUAAUGGGCUACAUUAUUUAAUAUAAAUAAAACGAAUUAUAACCUGAAAAUAUAUAUGAAGGCGGAUUUAGCAGUAAAUUAAGCAAGAAAACUUAAUUUAACAUUAGCCCUGGGACAUGUACACACCGCCCGUCACCCUCC